UGACAACUCAGUCUCAUAUUUUGUGCCUA
Molecule: non-coding RNA, 29 nt
Filed under: Rattus norvegicus (Norway rat)
Lineage: Eukaryota; Metazoa; Chordata; Mammalia; Rodentia; Muridae
Source: RNAcentral